AUUGAACGCUGGCGGCAGGCCUAACACAUGCAAGUCGAACGGUAACAGGAAGCAGCUUGCUGCUUCGCUGACGAGUGGCGGACGGGUGGGUAAUGUCUGGGAAGCUGCCUGAUGGAGGGGGAUAACUACUGGAAACGGUAGCUAAUACCGCAUAAUGUCGCAAGACCAAAGAGGGGGACCUUCGGGCCUCUUGCCAUCGGAUGUGCCCAGAUGGGAUUAGCUUGUUGGUGGGGUAACGGCUCACCAAGGCGACGAUCCCUAGCUGGUCUGAGAGGAUGACCAGCCACACUGGAACUGAGACACGGUCCAGACUCCUACGGGAGGCAGCAGUGGGGAAUAUUGCACAAUGGGCGCAAGCCUGAUGCAGCCAUGCCGCGUGUAUGAAGAAGGCCUUCGGGUUGUAAAGUACUUUCAGCGGGGAGGAAGGGAGUAAAGUUAAUACCUUUGCUCAUUGACGUUACCCGCAGAAGAAGCACCGGCUAACUCCGUG
This 490-nucleotide ribosomal RNA is filed under the name uncultured bacterium. RNAcentral's name for it is "partial 16S ribosomal RNA". It matches the Rfam family "Bacterial small subunit ribosomal RNA", at positions 30 to 507 of the family's 1533-position model. The record is from RNAcentral.